Molecule: long non-coding RNA, 672 nt
Organism: Camelus dromedarius (Arabian camel)
Lineage: Eukaryota; Metazoa; Chordata; Mammalia; Artiodactyla; Camelidae
Exons: 3
Source: RefSeq, a predicted model, not a curated record
CCACAGGCGAAGUCCGCGAAUGGCCGGUUUUGGCCGGCCGCGCGCGCCUUCCCAGCCAUACACCCGGUGGGCGACCCCUGUACGACGCCGGAUCCAACCAAGGGACGUCGCCUUCCCAUCAGGGACCCUGUGAAUUCGGCCCUGGGAUGAACUGGAUUUUUUUCCAAGUGAAAAUUCUGAGACAGUCAAAGGAAGAUAACCCCUGAUGACCACUGGUGACGUGGAGGUGACGGGGACCUGAUUGGCAGAUGGUGCCCUGGCUGCAGCAGUUGUAGGAGACCUUCUUCUCAGCCUCCACGAGCAGAGGAUUCUAUAAGUCGAGGGGGGAAUAGACACUUGUGAGGCCACCUCCACCAGAUCCGCUUGCCUGCCUGACAGUCCACCACUAUCGCUUCUCCAAACCUUGAGGCUUUUCAGUCUCUCCUAGUAAAAGGCAUGGAGAUGGAAUCCGGAGUCUUGGGGAUUUUGCAGCCAAAAGUCAUCUCCCAGCUUUGCCGUUUAAUCAGAGGGCUUUAAUCUAAGCCCAUUGCCAUUCCGAGUGUCAAUUUCCUUCUCUGCAAAAUAAGCCUAAGAAAUCCACAAGACCCUGGCUUUAUCUCCAACUCCAUUAUUCACUUGCUGUGUGACCUUGAACCAGUGGCUUGACUUCUCUGAGCUUUAGUUUUCUGGAAG